CUUGGUCAUUUAGAGGAAGUAAAAGUCGUAACAAGGUUUCCGUAGGUGAACCUGCGGAAGGAUCAUUCACAAUGAGUGUUUUAUGGCACUCUUUAAAAAUCCAUAUCCACCUUGUGUGCAAUGUUUGUUGGGAGAGAGGCAACUCUUUCCCUUCACAAAUAUCAACCUAUAUCUUUAACAACAUACGCCUGAUAACAUAUUAUGAAUAUACUUAAUUCAAAAUAUAACUUUCAACAACGGAUCUCUUGGCUCUCGCAUCGAUGAAGAACGCAGCGAAAUGCGAUACGUAAUGUGAAUUGCAGAAUUCAGUGAAUCAUCGAAUCUUUGAACGCAUAUUGCGCUCUUUGGUAUUCCGAAGAGCAUGCUUGUUUGAGUAUCAGUAAACACCUCAACCUCUCUUUUUGACAAAAAAAGGGAGGGUGGACUUGAGCUAUCCCAACGACCUUCACCGGUAGGCGGGCGGCUUGAAAUGCAGGUGCAGCUGGACUUUUAUCUGAGCUAAAAGCAUAUCUAUUUAGUCCUCGUCAAACAGGAUUAUUACUUUUGCUGCAGCUAACAUAAAGGAUAAUUGUCCUCUCUGCUGACUGAUGCAGGAUUUUACGACACUUUAUGUGUUGUUCAACUCGAUCUCAAAUCAAGUAAGACUACCCGCUGAACUUAAGCAUAUCAAUAAGCGGAGGAA
RNAcentral lists this ribosomal RNA (682 nucleotides) under uncultured fungus. RNAcentral's name for it is "eukaryotic LSU rRNA". The stretch from base 226 to 379 matches the Rfam family "5.8S ribosomal RNA". The record is from RNAcentral. Lineage: Eukaryota; Fungi.